AACGAACGCUGGCGGCAUGCCUAACACAUGCAAGUCGAACGGAUGUAGCAAUACAUUAGUGGCGCACGGGAUAGUAACGCGUGGGAAUCUGCCUCAUAGUUCGGAAUAACCCCGGGAAACUGGUGCGAAUACCGGAUACGCCCUUCGGGGAAAGUUUUUCGCUAUGAGAGGAGCCCGCGUUGGAUUAGCUAGUUGGUGAGGUAAUGGCUCACCAAGGCGACGAUCCAUAGCUGGUCUGAGAGGACGAUCAGCAUCACUGGGACUGAGACACGGCCCAGACUCCUACGGGAGGCAGCAGUGGGGAAUAUUGGACAAUGGGGGAAACCCUGAUCCAGCAAUGCCGCGUGGGUGAUGAAGGUCUUCGGAUUGUAAAGCCCUUUUGGCAGGGACGAUGAUGACGGUACCUGCAGAAUAAGCUCCGGCUAACUUCGUGCCAGCCGCCGCAGUAA
RNAcentral lists this ribosomal RNA (449 nucleotides) under uncultured bacterium. RNAcentral's name for it is "partial 16S ribosomal RNA". It matches the Rfam family "Bacterial small subunit ribosomal RNA", at positions 29 to 523 of the family's 1533-position model. The record is from RNAcentral.